GCACAAAUGGUUAAAUGCUAGGCUACUAACCAAGAGGUUGGUGGUUCAAAUCCACCUAGGUGCA
Molecule: transfer RNA, 64 nt
Filed under: Loxodonta africana (African savanna elephant)
Lineage: Eukaryota; Metazoa; Chordata; Mammalia; Proboscidea; Elephantidae
Rfam family: tRNA
About the family: Transfer RNA (tRNA) molecules are approximately 80 nucleotides in length. Their secondary structure includes four short double-helical elements and three loops (D, anti-codon, and T loops).
Source: Rfam by way of RNAcentral